This 2522-nucleotide long non-coding RNA is filed under the name Solanum tuberosum (potato). Its description in RNAcentral is "long non-coding RNA (STUB_LNC006964)". The record is from RNAcentral. Lineage: Eukaryota; Viridiplantae; Streptophyta; Magnoliopsida; Solanales; Solanaceae.
AGAAGCUGAAAAUACAGUACAAAGAUGAGAAGAAUUCACCUUAUUCCGGGCAGCGAAACGAGGACUUCGAGUGAGAAAAUGCGUCAACCACUGACUACGAGAGAUUCCGAACAAAAGCAAGGAAGCUUGAGAUGGAAAUUCGGAAUUAAAAACCUUUAGCCUAACCACUAGAAAACCAAAAGAGAACCUUUUGAUGGAUUUUUAUAUAACUAUAUUAUGCCUCCCUUCUCUAUAUUCUUCCGAUAUUCUUUCUUUGUUUCUUGUCAAAGAUUUCCAAUUUUUCUUCUAAAAAACCCCCCCUAAACCGAAAGCAAAGAUGGACUUUUAUAGGAGAAAAUCAAUUCGAUUAGAGGGAAAACGGAUUAAAAUUUGAAUUUCAAAUCCCCUUUUUCCGGAAACAGUAGAAAGGAUGGGGCUUUCUACAAAAGAGGAUGAGGGGACGAGGUGAGUAUGGGCGUUGCAGGGUAGUUGGACGAGACUUCCGAAUUUGUUGAGAUUUGUUGCGUCUGGAAGAGGAAGAACAGGGUAGGGGCGGUUCAUGUGUGAAAAGGAAGAAGAAGAAGAGUACAGGAGUCGUUUGGUACUGGGUAUGUACGUAUUGCUACUGUUGAUGUAUUGUUGAAUGGAAUUGUUGGAUCUUUUCUAUUGUGGGCUGAUGGGUUAGGAAUUUAAGAGUGGGAAAAGGCUGCUGAAAAAUUGCACUUGGGCUGAAGGAAGUAAAAAAAAAGAGGCCCCAACAUUUUGGUCUUAUCACAAAUGGGUUUAGGUGGGUAGAAGGGUUGGUUGUGUUUGUAAUAAAAAGGUUAAGUUUUGAUUUGAGGAUUUGGCCAUAUAGAUUGCAAUUAAGUUCGAUUAGAUUUAAGAAUUUAGUCAAAUUGAGCUUAAUUGGUGAUUCGACUAAAAAGCUAAAUAAGACGAAUUAAUAUAAAUUAAUUAAUGAGCUUCUUAAUCUCAACGAAAUAAAAAAUAAUGAACUUAAUUGUAAACUAAUUAAUUCAAUUACAAAACUAAUUAACUUGAAAUUAUAGCUAUAACUUAAAGCAAAUUAAUAAAAUAUUUAACUAAAAUGUAAAAUCUUUUGUGAUGAUUUUUUGAAUAUUUAUAAAAUAACGUGAUUGCAAAAAUAUACAUAUUUAUUAUUAAAAUGAUAAUUACUUUAAAAAUAACUUGAAAGUAUUUUGAAUUUCAUAAAACUCAUUAACUCAAAAUUAUAACCAUCCCUAAUAUUUAAAAUAUAAAAUCUUUUUUGAGACGAUUUUCGAAUAAUCAUAAAAUAUACUAAUUAUAUACAUAAUUAUGUAAAACAUAUAUAUUAUCUAAAAAUUAUGAAAAGUGACAAAACUAUUUUAAAAUCUUGCAAACUAUAUUAUUAUUUUUUGGAAAUUUUAUAAAACUAAUUAUUUUAAAUUGUUUGAAAUCGGAGAAGCUCGAAAUGAUUAAUUUAUAUUGUGGAGGGUCAAAAUUGGGUGUCAACAUUAUAUAUAAUUAAAAUUCAAGAUUAAUUGUGGCGUUGAUACGUGACAUUUUUAUAUCUCCUAUUAUAUAUAAGUAAUUUAAAAAAAAAUUGAAAUUGAAGAUUAAUUGUGGCAUUAACAUUAUUUAUAGAUAUAGAUAUACUCUCUGUCCCAUGUUAGUUGAUCAUAAUACUAAAUAUAGUUGUCUUAUAGUAGUUGAUUACCUUAUUAAAUCAAGAAAUUAUUAAUUAAUUAUUAUUUUUAUUACCAUUGCAAUUAAUUCUUUUUGAAAGUGUUCAUAUUUAUUUCUAAAAAUUCUGAAGAAAUUUUUUAUGGAGUAAAUUAGUAAAAUCAUCAUCUUAUUUAUAAUUUCUUAAAAAUUGUACAAAAUUUUAGCCUAACCACUAGAAAGCCAAAAGAGAACCUUUUGAUGGAUUUUUAUAUAACUAUAUUAUGCCUCCCUUCUCUAUAUCCUUUCAAUAUUCUUUCUCUGUUUCUUGUCAAAGAUUUCCAAUUUUUCCUCUCAACACUUAGCUAACUCUUCUCUCCUCUCUUUAAUCAAGAACAAGAAGAAGGUAUUUAUAGAAAGGGAACUGGGAUUCGAAAUUGGGGGAAAAGGGUAGAAUAGGAAUUCGAGUUCAACCUCCAAUUUGAAAAUUUUCAACCGAAAUCCCCCAAAAUCCGCACGAUAAGAGGGCGUGGAUGGCUUGACAGGCGGUUGUUCCAGGACGCAACUGCAGGUCUGUUCCAUCGAUGAAGACGAUGGCAGCUUUCCGUCUUUUUGACUUGUGAAGGAGAAAAAGUCGCGUACUACUGCUGUCUGGUUCACAUGAGCUGCUGAAUUCGGGUCGAUGCUGGGUUUCGUUUUGUGCGGGUCACGAUGAGGAAGAAGGAGAACGACGUACAAGGGUCGGGUCUGCGUCGGCUACUGUUUGUUGUAUUUAGGACCGUUGUACGUAUAUUACUGUUGGGUCACUUGGAAUUGUUGUUUGGAUAUGAUGUGUGUAUUGUGUGGAAUGGGUUUGUUUGGUAUUAAAUUAGUGGGCUUGAAUUUUGGUUGGUUAAGAG